GUGUUCAUAGCUCAGUGGUAGAGCACUUGUCUUAUGUGUACAAGACUCUGGGUUCAAUUCCCAGCACCACA
Molecule: transfer RNA, 71 nt
Filed under: Cricetulus griseus (Chinese hamster)
Lineage: Eukaryota; Metazoa; Chordata; Mammalia; Rodentia; Cricetidae
Rfam family: tRNA
About the family: Transfer RNA (tRNA) molecules are approximately 80 nucleotides in length. Their secondary structure includes four short double-helical elements and three loops (D, anti-codon, and T loops).
Source: Rfam by way of RNAcentral